This 465-nucleotide ribosomal RNA is filed under the name Vreelandella stevensii. RNAcentral's name for it is "partial 16S ribosomal RNA". It matches the Rfam family "Bacterial small subunit ribosomal RNA", at positions 338 to 795 of the family's 1533-position model. The record is from RNAcentral. Lineage: Bacteria; Pseudomonadati; Pseudomonadota; Gammaproteobacteria; Oceanospirillales; Halomonadaceae.
CCUACGGGGGGCAGCAGUGGGGAAUAUUGGACAACGGGGGGAACCCUGAUCCAGCCAUGCCGCGUGUGUGAAGAAGGCCCUCGGGUUGUAAAGCACUUUCAGUGAGGAAGAACGCCUGGUGGUUAAUACCCAUCAGGAAAGACAUCACUCACAGAAGAAGCACCGGCUAACUCCGUGCCAGCAGCCGCGGUAAUACGGAGGGUGCGAGCGUUAAUCGGAAUUACUGGGUGUAAAGCGCGCGUAGGUGGCUUGAUAAGCCGGUUGUGAAAGCCCCGGGCUCAACCUGGGAACGGCAUCCGGAACUGUCAAGCUAGAGUGCAGGAGAGGAAGGUAGAAUUCCCGGUGUAGCGGUGAAAUGCGUAGAGAUCGGGAGGAAUACCAGUGGCGAAGGCGGCCUUCUGGACUGACACUGACACUGAGGUGCGAAAGCGUGGGUAGCAAACAGGAUUAGAUACCCCGGUAGUC